GCCGUAGGGCGCGAGCGUUGUCCGGAUUUAUUGGGCGUAAAGAGCUCGUAGGCGGCUUGUUGCGUCGGCUGUGAAAUCCCGUGGCUUAACUGCGGGCUUGCAGCUGAUACGGGCGGGCUGGAGUUCGGUAGGGGAGACUGGAAUUCCUGGUGUAGCGGUGAAAUGCGCAGAUAUCAGGAGGAACACCGGUGGCGAAGGCGGGUCUCUGGGCCGAUACUGACGCUGAGGAGCGAAAGCGUGGGGAGCGAACAGG
This 253-nucleotide ribosomal RNA is filed under the name uncultured bacterium. RNAcentral's name for it is "partial 16S ribosomal RNA". It matches the Rfam family "Bacterial small subunit ribosomal RNA", at positions 524 to 776 of the family's 1533-position model. The record is from RNAcentral.